This 72-nucleotide transfer RNA is filed under the name Phrynosoma platyrhinos (Desert horned lizard). RNAcentral's name for it is "tRNA-OTHER". The record is from RNAcentral. Lineage: Eukaryota; Metazoa; Chordata; Lepidosauria; Squamata; Phrynosomatidae.
GACAGUGUGGUGUAGUGGUUUGAGUGCUAGACUACACCUCUGGAGACCAGGGUUCAAGUCCCUGCUUGGCCA